GAUGAACGCUGGCGGCGUGCCUAAUACAUGCCAGUCGAGCGAACAGACGAGGAGCUUGCUCCUCUAACGUUAGCGGCGGACGGGUGAGUAACACGUGGAUAACCUACCUAUAAGACUGGGAUAACUUCGGGAAACCGGAGCUAAUACCGGAUAAUAUAUUGAACCGCAUGGUUCAAUAGUGAAAGACGGUUUUGCUGUCACUUAUAGAUGGAUCCGCGCCGCAUUAGCUAGUUGGUAAGGUAACAGCUUACCAAGGCAACGAUGCGUAGCCGACCUGAGAGGGUGAUCGGCCACACUGGAACUGAGACACGGUCCAGACUCCUACGGGAGGCAGCAGUAGGGAAUCUUCCGCAAUGGGCGAAAGCCUGACGGAGCAACGCCGCGUGAGUGAUGAAGGUCUUCGGAUCGUAAAACUCUGUUAUUAGGGAAGAAUAAAUGUGUAAGUAACUAUGCACGUCUUGACGGUACCUAAUCAGAAAGCCACGGCUAACUACGUG
This 497-nucleotide ribosomal RNA is filed under the name uncultured bacterium. RNAcentral describes it as "partial 16S ribosomal RNA". It matches the Rfam family "Bacterial small subunit ribosomal RNA", at positions 28 to 507 of the family's 1533-position model. The record is from RNAcentral.